UGUGGGUCUCUAUGGGGUCUCUAUGCAUCCCUAUGCAUCCCUAUGGGUCCCUAUGGGGUCCCUAUGGGUCUCUAUGGGACUCUAUGGGUCUUUAUGGGUCUCUAUGGGUCUCUAUGGGGUCCCUAUGCAUCCCUCUGGGUUCGUAUGGGUCUCUAUGGGGUACCUAUGGGGUCCCUAUGGGUCUCUGUAGGUCCCUAUGGGUCCCUAUGCGACCCAAUGGGUCCCUAUGGGUCUCUAUGGGGUCCCUAUGGGUCUCUAUAGGUCUCUAUGGGACUCUAUGGGUCCCUAUGCAUCCCUCUGGGUUCCUAUGGGUCUCUAUGGGGUACCUAUGGGUCCCUAUGGGUCCCUAUGCAUCCCUAUGGGUCCCUAUGGGUCUCUAUGGGGUCUCUAUGGGGUCCCUAUGGGUCUCUGUAGGUCCCUAUGGGGCCCUAUGCGUCCCUAUGGGUCUCUAUGGGUCUCUAUGGGUCUCUAUGGGACUCUAUGGGUCCCUAUGCAUCCCUCUGGGUUCCUAUGGGUCUCUAUGUGGUCUCUAUGGGGCCCCUAUGCGUCCCUAUGGGUCCCAAUGGGUCUCUGUGGGUCCCUAUGGGUCUCUGUAGGUCCCUAUGGGUCUCAAUGCGUCCCUAUGGGUCCCUAUGGGUCUCUAUGGGGUCCCUAUGUGUCCCUAUGAGUCUACAUGGGUCCCUAUGUGUCCCUAUGGGUCUCUAUGGGGUCCCUAUGUGUCCCUAUGAGUCUACAUGGGUCCCUAUGGGUCCCUAUGGGUCUCUAUGGGGUCCCUAUGGGUCUCUGUGGGUCCCUAUGGGUCUCUAUGCGUCCCUAUGGGUCCCUAUGGGUCUCUAUGGGAUCCCUAUGGGUCUCAAUGCGUCCCUAUGGGUCCCUAUGGGUCUCUAUGGGGUCCCUAUGUGUCUCUGUGGGUCCCUAUGGGUCUUUAUGGGUCUCUAUGGGGUACCGAUGGGUCCCUAUGGGUCUCUAUGCGUCCCUAUGGGUCUUCAUGGGUCGCUAUGGGUCUCUAUGGGUCUCUAUGGGUCCCUAUGGGUCCAUAUGCAUCCCUCUGGGUCCCUAUGGGUCUCUAUGGGGUCUCUAUGUGGUCCCUAUGGGUCUCUGUAUGUCCCUAUGGGUCCCUAUGCGUCCCUAUGGGUCCCUAUGGGUCUCUAUGGGGUCUCUAUGGGGUCUCUCUAUGGCUCUCUAUGGCUCUCUAUGGGGUCUCUAUGGGGUCUCUAUGGGGUCUCUAUGGAGUCUCUCUAUGGGGUCUCAAUGGGGUCUCAUUAUGGCUCUCUCUGUGGGAUCUCUGUGGGGUCUCUAUGGGGUCUCCAUGGGGUCUCUAUGGCUCUCUAUGGCUCUUUAUGGGGUCUCUAUGGGCUGUCUAUGGGGUCUAUAUGGGGUCUCUAUGGGGUCUCUAUGGGGUCUCCAUGGGGUCUCUAUGGGUCUCUACGGCUCUCUAUGGGGUCUCUAUGGGGUCUCUAUGGGGUCUCUAUGGGCUCUCUCUAUGGGGUCUCUAUGGCUCUCUAUGGCUCUUUAUGG
Molecule: long non-coding RNA, 1518 nt
Filed under: Phasianus colchicus (ring-necked pheasant)
Lineage: Eukaryota; Metazoa; Chordata; Aves; Galliformes; Phasianidae
Description: lncRNA (ENSPCLG00000017277.1)
Source: RNAcentral